GCUUGUCUCAAAGAUUAAGCCAUGCAUGUCUUAGUGUAAAUAACUCUUAUGAAACUGCGAAUGGCUCAUUAAAUCAGUUAUCAAAUACGUGAUGGUCGCCUACUACAUGGAUAACCGUAGUAAUUCUAGAGCUAAUACAUGCACAAAGGCCCACUCACGAAGGGGUGUAUUUAUUAGAUGGAAACCAAUGCGGGGCAACCCGGAUUAUGGUGAUUCAUAAUAACUUUCAGAUCGAUCGCAAGAUCGAUGCAUCAUUCAAGUUUCUGCCCUAUCAGCUUUGGAUGGUAGGGUAUUGGCCUACCAUGGCUUUAACGGGUAACGGAGAAUUAGGGUUCGAUUCCGGAGAGGGAGCCUGAGAAACGGCUACCACAUCCAAGGAAGGCAGCAGG
RNAcentral lists this ribosomal RNA (389 nucleotides) under Chrysamoeba tenera. Its description in RNAcentral is "partial small subunit ribosomal RNA". It matches the Rfam family "Eukaryotic small subunit ribosomal RNA", at positions 30 to 432 of the family's 1831-position model. The record is from RNAcentral. Lineage: Eukaryota; Chrysophyceae; Chromulinales; Chrysoamoebidaceae.